UGUUUUCAUCCACACUGUCUACUUAUAAAAGAAUUAAGCAGAUAAAACUGGUUUGUGUAUGGGAGGAGUGGAGGACGUAUAUAAACAAAACACUGCUUUAUAUAGAUACACUGGAUUACCCAGAGUCAAUUUAAUAAAUUCAAUGGAUGAUUUUUAGCAGGGUUAUCUGUAUUUUAGACCAUUUUGCUAAUUGUGGAAUAAAAAAGCUAGAGAUGGUACAAUAAUUGUUGGCAUCAUUCACAGUGAGAAGAGAUAUUUGGGAACAGGAAGUCUUUUGUGGUGUUCUCAAAAUCACAUCACGUAGGCAGCUGCUCCUACACACGGCUCUGAACAAGUCGUCUCACUGGAUUUUGCAUGACAGUAUUAGUUAUCAUAAGGACAGCACCUCAGACAUCAGGGCGUUUUUGUUCUUUUUUUGAGACUGUCUUGCUCCGUCAUCCAGGCUGGAGUGCAGUGGCGCAAUCACUGCUCACUGUAACCUCAACUCCAGGGCUCAAGCAUCCUCCCGCCUCAGCCUCCCGAGGAGCUAGGACUACAGGUGCAUGUCACCAUACGUAGGUAAUCAAAUAUCAGUUUUUAUAUCCUUAGUUGGGCUAUUUGGAGUCUGCCUUGAAUCUACAUGGCUAAAAGGGUCAGAGAUUUGGGCAGAAUUUAUGAACAGAAUUUGGGACUACUCCUUUUUGGCUUACUCAUUUCCAGGAUUCUCUUUUUACUUUCUUUUUUUGAGAUAGUCUUGCUCUGUCGCCCAGGCUGCUGGAGUGCAAUGAUGCAAUCUCAGCUUACUGCAACCUCUGCCUCCUAGGUUCAAGUGACUCUCAUGCCUCAGCCUCCCAAGUAGCUGGAACCAUAGGCACGCACCACCAUGCCCAGCGAAUUUU
This 878-nucleotide long non-coding RNA is filed under the name Homo sapiens (human). RNAcentral describes it as "HSALNT0213008". The record is from RNAcentral. Lineage: Eukaryota; Metazoa; Chordata; Mammalia; Primates; Hominidae.